GAUGAAGAACGUAGCGAAAUGCGAUACUUGGUGUGAAUUGCAGAAUCCCGUGAACCAUCGAGUCUUUGAACGCAAGUUGCGCCCGAAGCCAUUAGGCCGAGGGCACGCCUGCCUGGGCGUCACACGUCGUUGCCCCCCCAUCUACUCCUUCGGGAUUGCGGGGGGCGGAUGAUGGCCUCUCGUGCGCCUCGUCGCGCGGUUGGCCUAAAUGCCAAGUCCUCGGCGACGCACGCCACGACAAUCGGUGGUUGCGAAACCUCGGUUGCCUGUCGUGUGCGGUCGUCGCGCAUCGAGGGCUCGAAAAAAUUGCCGGGCUUCGGCUCGACUUUCAACGCAACCCCAGGUCAGGCGGGGUUACCCGCUGAAUUUAAGCAUAUCAAUAAGCGGAGGA
RNAcentral lists this unclassified non-coding RNA (391 nucleotides) under soil metagenome. RNAcentral describes it as "partial contains 5.8S ribosomal RNA, internal transcribed spacer 2, and large subunit ribosomal RNA". The stretch from base 1 to 122 matches the Rfam family "5.8S ribosomal RNA", at positions 35 to 154 of the family's 154-position model. The record is from RNAcentral.